GGUGGCGCCCUGAACCCACAAGUGAGGGCGCCAAAAUAAAGUACAACUCCGUUCGCCCCCUUAUUUCUACCCCAUGUGCAGGAAACAGGGAUUUCGUUUCACCCAUAUCUGAAAUGGCCGGACCGCGGGACGCAGCUAGUAGAAUUAAUUCUCUUAAGUGGGCUUUCCAUUUGCUGAUCUAGUUUGCCUUUGAUGCAUGAUACACAAAUUACAGAUCUGCCAGCAAAUGUUCAGGAAAAGUGUCAACUUAAAGAUUAUAC
Parasteatoda tepidariorum (common house spider) is the source of this 260-nucleotide non-coding RNA. NCBI's taxonomy places the organism in Eukaryota, Metazoa, Arthropoda, Arachnida, Araneae, Theridiidae. The record is from RefSeq and is a predicted model, not a curated record.